UGAUGGCCGUUUUAACGUUUAUAUCAUGUUUACAGAUACAGUGCCUGUAGGGAAUAUCUAGAUAAGCACACAGUUAAGGGGAUAUGUCCAAGGGUAUAGUCUAUAAUACUUAUUUUUUGCAUCUUGCACAUAUAGUGAGCUAUUUGCAGCAUUUACAAGCUAUUGAAAACCCAAUUUACACAUAAUUGAGUGCAUUUGUUGUUAUCAUUUUUGCACUGCUUGCAGCUGUUGCCAUAACUACACAUUUGAGGAUAUGUUGGUGUAACCUCUGUUUCCUCUGUUCGGGGCAUCUAUACAGCUUCCUGCAACAAGGGAUGUUGCAUGCUAGUAGGCACACAGUUAUCCUUGAAGACUCUUCAGCCUCACAUCAGUACAGACUCUACCUGGCUGCCAUGUACUACAAUGAAAAUGCUGACCGACCACAAGCCCAAACAAAAGAAGGUGAACCACUGUUCAAGGUCCAAUUUCCAAAGGCCAUGAAGGGAGAAUGCAGAGCUAAACCAGGAAUGUGGUGGACCUCAUAUUUGAAAAAGUCUUUGUUGACCUGGGACCAUACACAGAAGCUGCUUUGGCCAUCCCCAUCCCAUAGGACCUCACUGCACAGUUUGAGCGGCCUGAGAAGGAGUAGGUCAUAUCAUGGAGCAGUCUAAAACCCACAUACCGGCCUGUGGCGUCAGGGAACACGGCAUGGAUGCGUAGGACCACGCAGGCUGGAAUGACGACCCAGAUUCUGCAACCAAGGAAGCCCCAGCACCAGCUCACAAAGCUCCUAUAGGCUAGAUACCUGUACCGACUAAAACAACUGGACAGGGCAUUUAGUCUUGCAAACAUAUCUAUGUUGUGUCUCACAAUUCUUUUUUAUGGAUACAGUGAAUCUUACAGUUUUUUUAUUAUCACUGAUUAUAACUGCCUCAUUUGGUGUAAAUAAAUGCUUGAUUGUUACUAAAGAAAUGACUCCUCUGAAUUCAUAUAUUAUAUGCACACUAUCUGCUGAUAGAAGAACUUUACAAAUCAAAGAGCAGCUAAACUAAUUUAUUUGAGUGUGUGUUACUCUAUUUGUGGUGUGUUAUUACCAUUGUAAAAUUAUGUGCACUGAAGUAAAACAAGACUGCCUAACA
Molecule: long non-coding RNA, 1118 nt
Organism: Seriola aureovittata
Lineage: Eukaryota; Metazoa; Chordata; Actinopteri; Carangiformes; Carangidae
Exons: 3
Source: RefSeq, a predicted model, not a curated record